UCGCUGAUGGUCGCUUACCCAGAUCUAUCUAUGUGUAUACGCUUAGAGCUCACCUCCUCACCCGUACGACUCUCGAUAGUAGAAGAGAAAAGGAACAUAUCCAAUGAGUCUGAUUGCAAUGGUAUAAGAUAUAAGCUUAAAGGAAUAGAUAGGCGCAAGGUAAACGACAGAACCAUGUACUAACCGGACCGAAGGAAGAGGUCUCCUGUACAAUCUCUGGCCCAAGAAUCUGUCUCUCCCCUACUUCAUCCC
RNAcentral lists this long non-coding RNA (252 nucleotides) under Nicotiana benthamiana. Its description in RNAcentral is "long non-coding RNA (NBEN_LNC027616)". Lineage: Eukaryota; Viridiplantae; Streptophyta; Magnoliopsida; Solanales; Solanaceae. The record is from RNAcentral.